UACGGAGGGUGUAAGCGUUGUUCGGAAUUAUUGGGCGUAAAGCGCACGUAGGCGGGUCUAUCAGUCGAUUGUGAAAUCCCCGGGCUUAACCCGGGACUUGCAGUCGAUACUGUAGAUCUUGAAUGUUUGAGAGGAUGGCGGAAUUCCUGGUGUAGAAGUGAAAUUCGUAGAUAUCAGGAGGAACACCCGAGGCGAAGGCGGCUGUCUGGCAAUACAUUGACGCUGAGGUGCGAAAGCGUGGGGAGCAAACAGG
This 253-nucleotide ribosomal RNA is filed under the name uncultured bacterium. RNAcentral's name for it is "partial 16S ribosomal RNA". It matches the Rfam family "Bacterial small subunit ribosomal RNA", at positions 524 to 776 of the family's 1533-position model. The record is from RNAcentral.